This is a long non-coding RNA of Scomber japonicus (chub mackerel), 1936 nucleotides long. RefSeq lists it as uncharacterized. NCBI's taxonomy places the organism in Eukaryota, Metazoa, Chordata, Actinopteri, Scombriformes, Scombridae. The transcript is spliced from 2 exons. The record is from RefSeq and is a predicted model, not a curated record.
UGAGUGGUAAUGUGAUAUGCGUUUUCAGGUGUGUUAGUAUGGAUGGAGAUUAUUUCUGAAAUAGGAACGCUCAUGUGAACAGAGAUUGUUUUCAGAAACAGUUUUUAAAAUGAAAACGCAUUAGUGUGGACGUAGCCUGCGUGUCUUGUCAGUCAGUGUGUUGCAGAGUAUGAGAUGAAGUGGGUAACAAAGGAGAAUAUGUCACCAGGGAAAUGUAUGCAGUUUCCGUAACAGCAGGAAUUGUUGCCUGAAGAGUCGCCACGGAAGAUGUGCUCAAGUCAGGUGUGGUACCCGCUAUCUCUCUAAAAGUUUUAUUGUUACAUCUUUUCUGUCCAUCGUCCUUUUCCUCAGGUACCAUCAGACAGAUUUACUGUAGAACUCAUCAACCUCUGAUACACUGCUACUCACUUUUAAUGGUUUUUAUCGUCAGUUUUUUAAAGUAGUUUGUUUGUACUCAACGUGUCAAACACAGUAUUUGCUUAUACAGACUCAUCUGCAGUAUCGCUAGGCUACUCUGGAGACUGGUCUUCUUCUUACCGAGUGAGGCUUGUCUUUCCUGACAAUGGCAGAAUGGAUAGAUUAGCGCAAUGUUUCUACCCAUUCAGAAGUGGGACCACUGGACUUGUCCAGCAUCAAAAACACACUCCAGUGAUCUGUUAUGGCAACUCCAUGAAGCCAAGAGGACUUGUUAGAGAUACAUUUUUAAAAAGGUUAAUAUAUCCUGUUAGUUCUGUCAAAUUCCAAAAACACUGGAUCCUACAUUUCCCAUAAUGCAACUCAUAAGCAUAUUUCAUUCGGCCUGAAUUGCCAUCAGCUUUCAUAUUCCAUGUCCUCAGUUUGUAACACACGUUUUCCGUCAAAUAUUGGAAUACUCAAGCCUAAUUCAAGAUGACCCUAAUAACAUCAUCAGGGUCAUUUUCUCUGACUCUACAAAGAUCCUUAAGAGCCCCAGAAGAUGUUUCACACCUGUUUUCACAGGCUGAGUAGUGCUCUCCAUGGCGAGUAAACUUUUAUGUGUAAAAUUGAUGGACUACCCCUUUAAAAAUUUUGCCUGUGCUAUGAUGUUUGCCCCAUCUAGUGUCAUUUAUUAAUUAAUGAACAGUUUUACUGUAAAUAUCUUGUAUACAAAUUUACUGUAUAUCCCUAUGGGAAUGUUGUUAUGCAACCUGUUGAGGUGGGGAUAUCGACUGUGGUGGUUUAAGAAUGAAGCUGUUUAUACUUGGAACUGGAAUACUGCGUCAAACGUCCUUUUUUGUAGUGAGAUAAUCAAGAGUAGUCAAGUCUAGUGAACUGCUCAUCCCGUCCAACCAUGCUUCUGAUCAGGUCUGUCGUCUCAGGUUAGUGUCCCACGCUGUUUAUAUGCCACUGAUAAAACACUUUCCCUGUUGCACGAACCUUUCAAGUUUUACUGUGUAUUCAAAUGACAAUCUAGGACAUCCAGAUGGGCUUGUUAUGUAACGCUGUAUGUAGACGUAAACAUGUAGGGUGAUGUCUGACAGACGCCCACUUCAUAGCACCCAUUCCUGAAAGACCAAAAAAGUCAUGCAGUAUAUGGAAACAUUUGGUUACUGAAAAUGAUUUGAGAGUAGGCACUGUAUAUUGAUGGGCUGAAGGUCAAGUUGAGUGUGUGAGUGUGUGUAUGUAUGAGUAUGGUGAGAAAGCAUAAGUAAUAUUUAAGUGUGAGGCUAAUGAAAAGCGAUGUGACUCGAGUGCUUGCAGUUAUAAUAAACUGUAUUGACUAUAGUCCAUGUGAUGCUGUAUGUUCAUAUGUGUCGUGGCCUUCAGUGGAGCUUUUCAAAUUGGCCAGUGGGUGUAAACACUACGCUAGUGUUGUGAACAGAAGGAUCCUCAAGGAUCUCAUUGCCUGAGGUGCACUCAGCAUGGGGGAAGCAAAAACGGCAGAGGAUUUGUCAUGUUUACACGACUGCAUAGAAGA